This 229-nucleotide long non-coding RNA is filed under the name Elaeis guineensis (African oil palm). Its description in RNAcentral is "long non-coding RNA (EGUI_LNC019088)". The record is from RNAcentral. Lineage: Eukaryota; Viridiplantae; Streptophyta; Magnoliopsida; Arecales; Arecaceae.
UCUCAUCAGCGAUGUUUCAUAACAUCAUCAAAUAAUUUAUAUUUUUGCAUCAUUUCAAUUUUAAAAUGUCGUGGAAGACUCAAAUUUCUGUAGUAUUUUUUGGUUGGAUGGUAUUUUUUAUUUAUAUUAUUUUAGCUUCUUAAUUAUUCAUAAAAAAACUAAGUAGAAAGUCAAAAGAUGAACUCAAUACAAUGGUAGGUCACUAAGUUUAAGAUCUUUAAUUAAAAAA